RNAcentral lists this long non-coding RNA (1996 nucleotides) under Vitis vinifera (wine grape). RNAcentral describes it as "long non-coding RNA (VVIN_LNC006846)". The record is from RNAcentral. Lineage: Eukaryota; Viridiplantae; Streptophyta; Magnoliopsida; Vitales; Vitaceae.
AUACAUAAAUGUGAAGAAAAGUUAUUCAACCACUUGCUCCAUCUGUAACUAAUAUUAAGGAGAGGCAGAUCUGGUGGAAAGUAAUAUUAAGGAGAGGCAGAAGAAUGGGUUUUGUUCUCCUUGCAGCUGAUGAGGCACCAAUGCUUGCUGCAGCAAGGAACGGUAUUGUGGAAAUGGUAGAAAAAAUCCUACAAGUUUUUCCUAUGACCAUUCUUGACAGGGAUCAGGAGGACAAGAACAUAGUGCUGUUAGCAGUGGAAAAUAGACAAUCCAAUAUAUAUCACCUCUUUUCUUCGCUGCUUUCCUAGGUGAUAAAGACACUUCCCUUUCGGUCUAUGAAAUGUGAGACAGCCCCACCCAAGCCCAUGACUACUCCCAUGCCAGGCUUGAUGGCACUGCUCUUCACAGUGCCAUUGAAGGAGGACACUUGGGUAAGGGGUUGGACUCUUCUCCAUAGUCCAUGGUAGAUGCCUUAGGUGUCUUGCUUCUCAUAAUAUAAAUCACAUAUCAAUAGAAUCGACAGUACUACUCACCUGUAAUGUGACCUCAUCACAAUAGUUGUGCUCCACAGAUCUGGCGUUACAAAUUAUUGAUAGGCUGGAUGGUCUCAUGGAUUCUGUUAUGAUGGAAACUCCCCUCUGCAUAUGCUAGCUGCAAAGCCUACUGCAUUCAGAAGUGGAAUGUUUCUCAGCUUCUUUGACAUCAUUUAUCAUUGUAGUACUUUUCCAAUAAACCUAAAUGACCAUCAAUUCAGUUAUAUCACACACAACUUAUCAUGUCAUAUUGGAAGCUUUAAAUGUAAUGUGUUGGCGCACAAUGAUACCAUCAAUUCACUAAUAUCACACACAACUCAUGGAAAGGAAAAAAAAUAAAAUUACAACUACUACUCAUAAACCUCAGAACAAUCUAAUUUUUUCCUACUCCUAGUAUAUCUAUAUCUGGAACCCAAGUCAUGUUCCAUUGUCUCUAACUGCUCCUCACAUCUAUAUAACCAGACUCUACACAUCUAUUUCAAUCACAUUGACACUUUUUUGUUAAUAUUUAUAAAGAUAUUUCUAAUAUUUCUAUCAUAUAAAAACCAUAUUUCAAUAAAAAAAAAUCAAAUAAUUAGAAACCUUCACUGGUAGUUUUGGGUCAGUAUUUAAACUCAUCAUACAAAAUUAAGCAUGGAGACCAAUGAAUUAGUUUGUAUCUUAUGUCCCACAAAGGCCAAAAAUUUCUUAAAAUUCCCAUUGAUAACUUACAAGGUAUAUAUGUUGAAAAUCCCAUCCCAGAGACUUUCAAAGAGAAAAAGAAGCUCAAGAGCUACUGGUAUCCAAGCAACUAUCAAACAUGUAUCAACUUCUUUCAAGUUCUAUGGAAGAUGAUGAAAUUACCAGGUGGGGUUUUGAGAUUAAUCAUUUAAAAUAAAAAAAUUUGUUUGUACAAUUGAAUAAACAUGAAUGGCAUGAUUCAUUGAUUGAUUUCUUACACUAUAAAUCAUUGCUAUAUGUUUACACAGUUUUGGUGACUAGUGGAAAAACUGGUUGAAAAUUAAACAAAGCAGUUGGAUACAGAGAAUUUUGAAGCGGGGCAAGGUAUUAAUGAACAUCGUGUUCAGUGAGGAUCUACUUGGUCUAAGCUUAUAAGUUCCUAAAAGCAACUUCAAGGAAUUAAACAUUGAUUUCCAUACCUUUCUAUAGGUCACCAUUCAAGCAAUGCUACUCAAGGACAUCAAGGAUUCCCCUCAAGAUAUGGCAGAUGCCAGAGGUUCAUCAAGCCUAUUGUAUCCAAAGCAUUGCUGGUUAUCUUCUCAAUAGUGGAUAAUACUAUAACACCAUAAUAUUACCAUCUUAAAUUUCUCUUCUUAAUUUCCCAAACAAUAUGGAUUUUAAGUAUGUUUUUGUUUCUUAGUGGAUACAUGUCAAGGAUCAAGUGAGAUAAGGAAGUGAAGAGAGAAAAAAACAGAUGCACAUAUGAACUCUUGACUCUCUUCAGAUCAUGAACAAACUACUUG